RNAcentral lists this ribosomal RNA (429 nucleotides) under bacterium. RNAcentral's name for it is "partial 16S ribosomal RNA". It matches the Rfam family "Bacterial small subunit ribosomal RNA", at positions 355 to 776 of the family's 1533-position model. The record is from RNAcentral.
UAGGGAAUCUUCGGCAAUGGGGGCAACCCUGACCGAGCAACGCCGCGUGAGUGAAGAAGGUUUUCGGAUCGUAAAGCUCUGUUGUAAGAGAAGAACGUGUGUGAGAGUGGAAAGUUCACACAGUGACGGUAACUUACCAGAAAGGGACGGCUAACUACGUGCCAGCAGCCGCGGUAAUACGUAGGUCCCGAGCGUUGUCCGGAUUUAUUGGGCGUAAAGCGAGCGCAGGCGGUUUAAUAAGUCGGAAGUUAAAGGCAGUGGCUUAACCAUUGUUCGCUUUGGAAACUGUUAAACUUGAGUGCAGAAGGGGAGAGUGGAAUUCCAUGUGUAGCGGAGAAAUGCGUAGAUAUAUGGAGGAACACCGGUGGCGAAAGCGGCUCUCUGGUCUGUAACUGACGCUGAGGAUCGAAAGCGUGGGGAGCAAACAGG